UACGUAGGUGGCAAGCGUUAUCCGGAAUUAUUGGGCGUAAAGGGUGCGUAGGCGGUUCGAUAAGUCUAAGGUGAAAGUUCGGAGCUUAACUCCGGAUUGCCUUAGAAACUGUCAGACUAGAGUGCAGGAGAGGGCAAUGGAAUUCCAUGUGUAGCGGUAAAAUGCGUAGAUAUAUGGAGGAACACCAGUGGCGAAGGCGGUUGCCUGGCCUGUAACUGACGCUGAAGCACGAAAGCGUGGGGAGCAAAUAGG
RNAcentral lists this ribosomal RNA (252 nucleotides) under uncultured bacterium. RNAcentral's name for it is "partial 16S ribosomal RNA". It matches the Rfam family "Bacterial small subunit ribosomal RNA", at positions 524 to 776 of the family's 1533-position model. The record is from RNAcentral.